ACGGUAACAGGAAGAAGCUGCUUCUUUGCUGACGAGUGGCGGACGGGUGAGUAAUGUCUGGGAAACUGCCUGAUGGAGGGGGAUAACUACUGGAAACGGUAGCUAAUACCGCAUAACGUCGCAAGACCAAAGAGGGGGACCUUCGGGCCUCUUGCCAUCGGAUGUGCCCAGAUGGGAUUAGCUAGUAGGUGGGGUAACGGCUCACCUAGGCGACGAUCCCUAGCUGGUCUGAGAGGAUGACCAGCCACACUGGAACUGAGACACGGUCCAGACUCCUACGGGAGGCAGCAGUGGGGAAUAUUGCACAAUGGGCGCAAGCCUGAUGCAGCCAUGCCGCGUGUAUGAAGAAGGCCUUCGGGUUGUAAAGUACUUUCAGCGGGGAGGAAGGGAGUAAAGUUAAUACCUUUGCUCAUUGACGUUACCCGCAGAAGAAGCACCGGCUAACUCCGUGCCAGCAGCCGCGGUAAUACGGAGGGUGCAAGCGUUAAUCGGAAUUACUGGGCGUAAAGCGCACGCAGGCGGUUUGUUAAGUCAGAUGUGAAAUCCCCGGGCUCAACCUGGGAACUGCAUCUGAUACUGGCAAGCUUGAGACUCGUAGAGGGGGGUAGAAUUCCAGGUGUAGCGGUGAAAUGCGUAGAGAUCUGGAGGAAUACCGGUGGCGAAGGCGGCCCCCUGGACGAAGACUGACGCUCAGGUGCGAAAGCGUGGGGAGCAAACAGGAUU
Molecule: ribosomal RNA, 723 nt
Filed under: uncultured Escherichia sp.
Lineage: Bacteria; Pseudomonadati; Pseudomonadota; Gammaproteobacteria; Enterobacterales; Enterobacteriaceae
Description: bacterial SSU rRNA
Rfam family: Bacterial small subunit ribosomal RNA
Source: RNAcentral